Long non-coding RNA from Myotis daubentonii (Daubenton's bat), 1172 nucleotides. RefSeq lists it as uncharacterized. The record is from RefSeq and is a predicted model, not a curated record. NCBI's taxonomy places the organism in Eukaryota, Metazoa, Chordata, Mammalia, Chiroptera, Vespertilionidae.
CGGGGCUUGGCGAGCCACCCGCAAAGCUAGGUGAAGGCUAAGGAGGCUGGCUGAGGAGUGGGAUUCCUCCAGCACUUACUCCAUUCCGGGGGCGGGUGCUGCGCACAUUCGUGGCUAAAACAAGAGAUAACCGCGCAGAUCCAGGCCCAGGAAAGCAGCAAAGCCAGACAAGCAACGCCACUGUUGACCUCGGGACCAACCGCAUUGGAUAAUGAUCCACUGGAGCCUGUUAGGUCCCCGAAGGAGGAAUGCAGGAGGCCAGAAAGCUAGACACAAGUACAGAGGUUGCUGAACCCAGGUCCAGUAUGACCCCACUCGUCUAGCACUCGUCUAGUUCCUGCCACCCACGACAGAUUGUACAACAGGUUAAUGUUCCUCCCUCUCUCUCUCUGUCUAAAAUAAAGUAAUAAAAUAGAUUGUUGGUGCUAAAUGCUAAAAGUAGCGAGUGAAAGGUUAGAAAAGAACAGGAUACUUACACAGAUUCCAAGUAUGUCCCCCCAGAUAUUUGUUGUAGUUUUAACGCGGCCACAGAAUCGUUGAUACACCUUCCUCCGGGAGGUGAAGCUGGACUCCUUCCUCCCAUUGAGUGUGUGGCCUGGAUUUAGUGACUGGCUUCUCAACAACGAUAUGUGGAAAAGGAAAAUAGUAAUUUUUACAGGAGAGAAAUGCAGACACCACCUUAACCAAGUGGUCGAGGUUAACACCAUCAGUAAUAAGUCCUUUUGAUAUCAUUUACCCCUUCAUACGAUGCAAUGAGAAAGUCACUUCAUCUAUGUGGAAUUUCCCCCCUAAAUUCAUUCCCCCAGUCUAAUCAAAAGAAAACAUCUGCCCAAUCCAAAUGGAGAGAUAUUCCGGAAAGUACUUGAGCCGUGUGGACCAAAAAGGGGCCACAUAGCCCAGCCUGUGUUGCUCAGUGGUGGAGCGUCAACCCAUGUACCAGGAGGUCCCGGGUCGAUUCCCAGCACAUGCCCCGGUUUCUAGCUCCAUCCCCAUUAGUAGGUGUUUCUAUCUCUCUUUUCCUCUCACUCUAAAAUCAAUUUUUAAAAAAUUUAAGAAAGGGGAGGGGGGAGCCACAUAUUAAACCUGACAAGCUCAGGGGAGGCCUGCAUGUCAGGGCUUACAAACUCAGAGACCUAAAGUAACCACAUAGGAUGGUCUAAAUUAAAACUUCC